GACGAACGCUGGCGGCGUGCUUAACACAUGCAAGUCGAACGGUAAGGCCCCAGCUUGCUGGGGUACACGAGUGGCGAACGGGUGAGUAACACGUGGGUGACCUGCCCCGCACUUCGGGAUAAGCCUGGGAAACUGGGUCUAAUACCGGAUAGGACCGCACCGUGAGGGUGUGGUGGAAAGUUUUUCGGUGUGGGAUGGGCCCGCGGCCUAUCAGCUUGUUGGUGGGGUAAUGGCCUACCAAGGCGGCGACGGGUAGCCGGCCUGAGGGGGUGGACGGCCAAAUGGGGACUGGGACACGGCCCAGACCCCUACGGGGGGGAGCGGGGGGGAAUAUUGCACAAGGGGGGGAAGCCUGAUGCAGGGACGCCGGGGGGGGGAUGACGGCCUUGGGGUGGUAAACUCCUUUCCCCCUCGACGAAGGUUUUCGGGGGGUAGGUGGAGAAGAAGCACCGGCUAACUACGG
Molecule: ribosomal RNA, 463 nt
Filed under: uncultured bacterium
Lineage: Bacteria
Description: partial 16S ribosomal RNA
Rfam family: Bacterial small subunit ribosomal RNA
Source: RNAcentral